Molecule: ribosomal RNA, 433 nt
Filed under: uncultured bacterium
Lineage: Bacteria
Description: partial 16S ribosomal RNA
Rfam family: Bacterial small subunit ribosomal RNA
Source: RNAcentral
AACGAACGCUGGCGGCAGGCCUAACACAUGCAAGUCGAGCGCGCCCUUCGUGGUGAGCGGCGGACGGGGGUGUAACGCGUGGGAACGUUCCCUUUUCUACGGAAUAGCCUCUGUAAACGGAGGGUAAUACCGUAUACGCUCUUCUGGUGCAAGAUAUAACGUAAAAGUAUCGGCCCGCGUUGGUUUAGGUGGUUGGGGUUGUAAUGGCCUAUCAAGCCUACGAUCCAUAGCUGGUUUGAGAGAAUGGUCAGCCACACUGGGACUGAGCCACGGCCCAGAAUCCUACGGGAGGCAGGAGAGGGGAAUCUUAGAAAACCGGGUCAAUCAUGAUCUAGCUCUGCCGGGUGAGUGAUGAAGGCGUUAGGGUAGAAAAGCUCGUUCAGCUGGGGAGAUAAUGACGGUACCAGCAGAAGAAGCCCCGGCUAACUUCGUG